Molecule: unclassified non-coding RNA, 278 nt
Filed under: uncultured Dothideomycetes
Lineage: Eukaryota; Fungi; Ascomycota; Dothideomycetes
Description: sequence contains 5.8S rRNA gene, ITS2, 28S rRNA gene
Source: RNAcentral
AACGCACAUUGCGCCCUUUGGUAUUCCGAGGGGCAUGCCUGUUCGAGCGUCAUUUCAAACCUCAAGCUUCUGCUUGGUAUUGAGCGGCUCGCCUUCGGAAACGGAGGCGCCCUCGAAACUCGUGGGCGGUGAUGUCCAGCGUCGUAGCGUAGUCAUAAAACAAUUCCGCUUCCGAUUGCUCCUGGACGAUUCACCCGCCGGGCGAACCGAUGUCCUCUCGGACGUCAAUUUUUCUAAGGUUUGACCUCGGAUCAGGUAAGGAUACCCGCUGAACUUAA